This 700-nucleotide ribosomal RNA is filed under the name Thauera sp. enrichment culture clone EN9. RNAcentral describes it as "bacterial SSU rRNA". It matches the Rfam family "Bacterial small subunit ribosomal RNA", at positions 46 to 739 of the family's 1533-position model. Lineage: Bacteria; Pseudomonadati; Pseudomonadota; Betaproteobacteria; Rhodocyclales; Zoogloeaceae. The record is from RNAcentral.
GGAUUAGGCAUGCAAGUCGAACGGCAGCACGGGCUUCGGCCUGGUGGCGAGUGGCGAACGGGUGAGUAAUGCAUCGGAACGUGCCCAUUUGUGGGGGAUAACGCGGCGAAAGUCGCGCUAAUACCGCAUACGCCCUGAGGGGGAAAGCGGGGGAUUCUUCGGAACCUCGCGCAAUUGGAGCGGCCGAUGUCAGAUUAGCUAGUUGGUAGGGUAAAGGCCUACCAAGGCGACGAUCUGUAGCGGGUCUGAGAGGAUGAUCCGCCACACUGGGACUGAGACACGGCCCAGACUCCUACGGGAGGCAGCAGUGGGGAAUUUUGGACAAUGGGGGCAACCCUGAUCCAGCCAUGCCGCGUGAGUGAAGAAGGCCUUCGGGUUGUAAAGCUCUUUCGGCCGGGAAGAAAUCGGCGACUCUAACAUAGUCGCUGGAUGACGGUACCGGACUAAGAAGCACCGGCUAACUACGUGCCAGCAGCCGCGGUAAUACGUAGGGUGCGAGCGUUAAUCGGAAUUACUGGGCGUAAAGCGUGCGCAGGCGGUUUUGUAAGACAGAUGUGAAAUCCCCGGGCUUAACCUGGGAACUGCGUUUGUGACUGCAAGGCUAGAGUACGGCAGAGGGGGGUGGAAUUCCUGGUGUAGCAGUGAAAUGCGUAGAUAUCAGGAGGAACACCGAUGGCGAAGGCAGCCCCCUGGGCCUGUA